GCAGCCAUAAAUAAAAGUCAUUUGUGUUCGUUUAUUUAAUGCUUUCCUUUUACAGUGAAGUGAAGGUCUUUGAUGACCUCCUUCCUACCUGCUAACCAAAUAUGGAAAUCUGUUCUGGACAGAGUCCAUGGCCGUGCCAGGAAGCAGGCGUUAGCCAGGGGCCUGCCUGGAGAUCAGCCCUCCUGAGACAAUUUCUGUGGGGGUGGAAGUGGGGGAGGGAGAAAGUCGCUCAGAACUGAUGGUCCUGGACCGGCCACGGUCCCCAGAGCCUCAGCCUCCCAGGCCCAGGCUUUGUUGAAGAUGUCCGGGCCCUGGACUGGCGCUGUCUGGGCCCCCACUGACCUGACCCAGCUGUUUCUCUCUCCCUGAUGGUCCUUGUUUUCUCGGUUUGUAGUUCCUGGGUAGGAUGGCCAGAUAAAAUACAGGAUGCCCAGUUGGGCUCGGAUUACAGAUAAACGAAUGUGUAUCAGGACUCAGCUAGGGGGUCCUUGAUGUUUAUUUGCCCCAUUGCUGGGCUGUUCUCAGGAGGAUGUUGAGACCCUGGCGUGGAGCGCCUCCUCGGCGUGUCCAGCAGAGGGCGGCCGUGCCUCCCGGAGGCAUCGCGGGGCCCAGAGCGCAGCCCAGCCCCGUCCCCUGGUCCUGUGGCUCGAGGUCGGGGAGGGAGGGGCGGUGGUCGCUGCGGGGCAAAUGUUUCCACUCACCCGGAGCCACGACCCACGGCCUGUGCAGGGAGAGUCGAAAGCGCGGCCCCCGGUGAGCACUUGGGAGGUGAACCGGUUCCCCGCCCUGGUGGGCUGUCACCAGUCACAUCAAGAGAUGCAGGACGGCGGUGGCCUCACCAGAGGCAUUACGAGUUCUCUGGAGCCCCUCCGCCACCACCGUCCUUGUUCUUCCUUGAGUCGGAACCAGGUCCUUGGGGUCUGUGGGUGCUCAGUGGCUUUGCAGACCUGCAAAGAUUUGAGGUCUUCCAGGUGCCUCUCCUUGCCUUCACCAGAUGCUGGUUUCGGGGGCAGGGAUAGGGCUGCCAGGCAUCAGGAAGGUUUGUGAACGGGGAUUUAAUCGAGUGUUUCGCGGGGUGGCCCCUGCCAUCUCUGCCCCUCGUUUUGUACGAGAAGCAGGCGGAAACCAGCUCUCCCUUUGAGAACGCACUGUUGCCCUCCGCUGUUGCUUGUGUGUCUUGCCUUGCUGUGACCCAGGGAGAGCUCCCUGCAGCUGUCAGCUCCCUGGUGACCUCAGGCUCUGGGCAUCCCAGUAAGCACGGCUUGCGCACCCACUGUGUGCCAGCUCCCACUUUCCUGGAGCUCGUGGGAGGAGACGGGGACAGUGAACGAACGCACAGACUGAGAUGGUGGGAGGGGCUGUGCGUUCCGGGUUGUCUGCACGAGGGGCUCUGGCAGGGGGGCCGCGUCCCGGCUUGUCUGCGCGAGGGGCUCUGGCGACCACGUCCAGCACUACUGCUGUGUGUUUUUCUUUGCUGUGACCCAGUGAAGACCUCCUCACAGACAGAGCACAGCAGACUCGCGGUGCUGAAACCCGGAGGGUUACCCUGUCCCUGACUGACUGUAAGGUUACACUAAAUUAAGAGGCACUCCAAGGAUUGCAAAGUCCGAGGGGAAUUUUGAAUUCGUGGGUCCUGGAUUGUGAAUUUGAAGGCAGCGGUUUCCAACCCUUUUAAAUCUUGACCCCAGGAAGAAGUACCUUCUACAUCUUGACCCAGCAAACACGUGAUACCUACCCACACUGUAUUUUGUUCAAUUAACCCUCAAAUGAUGUUUCCUAAUGUUUGGCCCUGGGUCAAGCAUUUCACAAACUAUUUAAUCUUCUCUACAAUCCCAGGUGGUAGCUACUGUCUUGCCGCCUUUAUGCAGACAGAGACUGAGGGAUACCUUAGAUGUCUUUCCAAACCAUCCACCCCCUCAGCCUUCCCUGCCCACUGCCUGCACGUCAAACCCACUGACGGGCACUCGUUCGACUCCAAGAGCCCCGUGCCAGGAACCUGGGAGACAACUCCCGUUUUGACUCUGGGCAAGGUACUUCACCUCUCAAGUCCCAGAGAAGCAGAGAAAGCAACGGCAGGUAUAGUGGCUGGCUGCACUUAGGUGGCACCUACUGUGUGCCAGGCCCCCUUCUGCCCACUUCACAGGUGUCUUAGUCUCCAUAGAGUCCAUUUGGAAACAGGCCCGGAGCCAUCCAGGUUGCGAUGAGGCACCAAGGUGGCAGAGCCAGUGCUGGGCAAGAGGCGGGAGCUGCAGUUGCUGAACCCGUGAGCUUGCUUGCCUGGGAGUGGCGACCUGGCCCUCAGGGGUUGCUUGUCUCUAGGGGACCCAGCCUGGGUACAUGUACCACCACCCGCUUCCAGCUCUGCUAUUUGCAGGUGAAGGAGAAAGCCACUGAGGCCUGGCCUCCAGGCCAGGCUCUGUCCCUGCUGGGAGCUGCCCUGGCCUCAGGUUCUUCCUGGAAGGGAGGACCAGGCAGCUGGGGGCAGCAGCAGAUCCAGCUAUGAAAGCCGUGACAAGAAGUUCCUUGAAGUGUGGUGGGCUGCAGUCAGCAUAUGUAGGAGACGACCCCAAUCCUGACCCUAAUCCUAAUUCUUGCUUUCCCCACCAGAUUUUAAUCCUUAUCCUGCCCAGGGAUUUUAAGGGCUAACCCAAAUCCUGACCCAAGGGGAAGGAUGGAAGGGGGAACAGCCUGCAGCCUCACCUCCACCCUCUAUCCUCCCAGGUCUACCUCCACCCCUCUCCUGGGUCUCUCCCUCUUGGCUUGGCCCCAUCCCACAGCCCCCACUGUCUUCCCCCCGCUCCCACUUUGGCAGGCCCCUCCAAGUGACCUCUCCCUUGCUCCCCAGCACACAGUAGGUGCUCAAUGAAGAACACCGCCUUUCCUUGACUCCAGUAGAUGUUGCACCCUCUCCAUCUUAGGAGAAAAUGUGCGUUGGCUGUCAAGACUACACUGACAGCAGUGGUCACUCAUUUGCAGACAGGGUGAAGUGUGGGGGAAAGCGCAGUAGUGACGCUGAACCCUACAUUUAUGUAGCAUUGAUGCUAGGCACCAGAACCCUCACAAUCCUAAUUCCGACGGGAGCUAGAGCCCCCCCACCCCACCGUGAGUGCAGCAAGGGAGCACCUCAACCCUGCCCUUGGAGGGCCACAGGUCAGCUUGCACCGUCUUCCCACCCAGCACCACUCUGGGUGCCUUUGCUGUCUCCCAAGAGCCCCUUGCCCUUGGAGUUCCCUCAUGAUGCCCCCCUGCCCCACGUGCAGGUGUCUGACCAUCCGGGAAGCAGGGUCGAGGAGCUCCCAGUUGAAGUCCAGUUGCUGAGACGCACCCUGUUUUGGUGUUGCUGGGGCAGGGGGCUGAUGGUGGUGCUGAACGGGUUUUAGAGGAGGGUCAGGGUGGCAGCGGAUCUGGGGCCCAGCAGCCUUGUUUCUGACCCCAGGCCUGCCACUUCCCAUUUAAGUGACCGUGAGUGGCAGAGGUCAAGGCUGGACUCCGGAAACGUGGGUCUGACACUCCUGAGGCCUCCCGGAUGGUCCCAGCCGAAAGGACCCAGUGUGGGUCCCUUGGGCCUGGGUUUCCCUGGCUCAGGUGCCCUCAAUCCCCAGGCACCCUCAGCUCAGGGCUCCCCACGACCUGGUGGGGGCACAGACCCCGGCGCCAUUUCAUGGGGUUCCCAGCUCCUGGCGCCCCCGUGCUCUUCUGUGAAAUGGGACAGCAAGUGCGCUGAUAGGAACGGUGCCUGGGCACAGGGCUGCGCCUGGACACCCUACGCCGUCGCAAGGUGCCUCCUGCUGUCGGAGUUUCCAGGCGCACACGGCGCGGCUGCCACUCCCUGAGGAGGAAAGUCGGGAACCGUCCCGCGGGGCCGGUCCCGCCGCUGCUCGUCCUCCUUCUCCACGUCCCCGCCCGGGGCUCCGCCGGCCCGACCCGCGGGGAACCUCCAGCCUCUGAGGACCUCACGCCGCUCGGAGACCCGCACAGCCCGGGUCAGGGCCGGGACUCCGGGCGGACGAGGUCCCCGUGGCGCCCGCACGCUCGCCCCACCCGCUCUUUUGGGCGCCGCGGCCAGGCGGGGGCAGAGUCCGCG
This 4084-nucleotide long non-coding RNA is filed under the name Homo sapiens (human). Its description in RNAcentral is "HSALNT0395498". The record is from RNAcentral. Lineage: Eukaryota; Metazoa; Chordata; Mammalia; Primates; Hominidae.